GCCGUAACUUCGGGAGAAGGCACGCUGAUAUGUAGGUGAGGUCCCCCGCGGAUGGAGCUGAAAUCAGUCGAAGAUACCAGCUGGCUGCAACUGUUUAUUAAAAACACAGCACUGUGCAAACACGAAAGUGGACGUAUACGGUGUGACGCCUCCCCGGUGCCGGAAGGUUAAUUGAUGGGGUUAGCGCAAGCGAAGCUCUUGAUCGAAGCCCCGGUAAACGGCGGCCGUAACGAUAACGGUCCUAAGGUAGCGAAAUUCCUUGUCGGGUAAGUUCCGACCUGCACGAAUGGCGUAAUGAUGGCCAGGCUGUCUCCACCCGAGACUCAGUGAAAUUGAACUCGCUGUGAAGAUGCAGUGUACCCGCGGCAAGACGGAAAGACCCCGUGAACCUUUACUAUAGCUUGACACUGAACAUUGAGCCUUGAUGUGUAGGAUAGGUGGGAGGCUUUGAAGUGUGGACGCCAGUCUGCAUGGAGCCGACCUUGAAAUACCACCCUUUAAUGUUUGAUGUUCUAACGUUGACCCGUAAUCCGGGUUGCGGACAGUGUCUGGUGGGUAGUUUGACUGGGGCGGUCUCCUCCUAAAGAGUAACGGAGGAGCACGAAGGUUGGCUAAUCCUGGUCGGACAUCAGGAGGUUAGUGCAAUGGCAUAAGCCAGCUUGACUGCGAGCGUGACGGCGCGAGCAGGUGCGAAAGCAGGUCAUAGUGAUCCGGUGGUUCUGAAUGGAAGGGCCAUCGCUCAACGGAUAAAAGGUACUCCGGGAUAACAGGCUGAUACCGCCCAAGAGUUCAUAUCGACGGCGGUGUUUGGCACCUCGAUGUCGGCUCAUCACAUCCUGGGGCUGAAGUAGGUCCCAAGGGUAUGGCUGUACGCCAUUUAAAGUGGUACGCGAGCUGGGUUUAGAACGUCGUGAGACAGUUCGGUCCCUAUCUGCCGUGGGCGCUGGAGAACUGAGGGGGGCUGCUCCUAGUACGAGAGGACCGGAGUGGACGCAUCACUGGUGUUCGGGUUGUCAUGCCAAUGGCACUGCCCGGUAGCUAAAUGCGGAAGAGAUAAGUGCUGAAAGCAUCUAAGCACGAAACUUGCCCCGAGAUGAGUUCUCCCUGACCCUUUAAGGGUCCUGAAGGAACGUUGAAGACGACGACGUUGAUAGGCCGGGUGUGUAAGCGCAGCGAUGCGUUGAGCUAACCGGUACUAAUGAACCGUGAGGCUUAACCCU
This 1220-nucleotide ribosomal RNA is filed under the name metagenome. RNAcentral describes it as "bacterial LSU rRNA". It matches the Rfam family "Bacterial large subunit ribosomal RNA", at positions 1727 to 2925 of the family's 2925-position model. The record is from RNAcentral.